UAAAUACAUUCCUGGAUGAGUAGCCAU
RNAcentral lists this non-coding RNA (27 nucleotides) under Rattus norvegicus (Norway rat). Lineage: Eukaryota; Metazoa; Chordata; Mammalia; Rodentia; Muridae. The record is from RNAcentral.